RNAcentral lists this ribosomal RNA (629 nucleotides) under uncultured bacterium. Its description in RNAcentral is "bacterial SSU rRNA". It matches the Rfam family "Bacterial small subunit ribosomal RNA", at positions 202 to 847 of the family's 1533-position model. The record is from RNAcentral.
GAAAAGAGUAAUCUGCUAGUAGAUGGGCUCGCGUCUGAUUAGAUAGUUGGUGGGGUAACGGCCUACCAAGUCGACGAUCAGUAGCCGGACUGAGAGGUUGAACGGCCACAUUGGGACUGAGAUACGGCCCAGACUCCUACGGGAGGCAGCAGUCGGGAAUAUUGCGCAAUGGAGGAAACUCUGACGCAGUGACGCCGCGUAUAGGAAGAAGGUUUUCGGAUUGUAAACUAUUGUCGUUAGGGAAGAUACAAGACAGUACCUAAGGAGGAAGCUCCGGCUAACUACGUGCCAGCAGCCGCGGUAAUACGUAGGGAGCAAGCGUUAUCCGGAUUUAUUGGGUGUAAAGGGUGCGUAGACGGGAAAGCAAGUUAGUUGUGAAAUCCCUCGGCUUAACUGAGGAACUGCAACUAAAACUGUUUUUCUUGAGUGUUGGAGAGGAAAGUGGAAUUCCUAGUGUAGCGGUGAAAUGCGUAGAUAUUAGGAGGAACACCGGUGGCGAAGGCGACUUUCUGGACAAUAACUGACGUUGAGGCACGAAAGUGUGGGGAGCAAACAGGAUUAGAUACCCUGGUAGUCCACACCGUAAACGAUGGAUACUAGGUGUAGGGAAUGAUUUCAUUUUCUGUGCC